UUUUUUUUUUUUUUUUUUUUUUUUUUUUUUUUUUUCUUUUCCAAAAAGUAUCGCCAUAGUCACCGUCAAAAUGUCUAUUUGAAAAAAAGAGAGCGCGCACGCGCAUGUUCUAGCGUUCCAUCCAAGAAAAAGUGUACCCCCCUAAAACCUUUGUAUUUUUGUUUUUCCAAAAAAAAAAAAAAGCCCAAAAUGUUAAUUUGCAUCU
This 205-nucleotide non-coding RNA is filed under the name Ditylum brightwellii. The record is from RNAcentral. Lineage: Eukaryota; Bacillariophyta; Thalassiosirophyceae; Lithodesmiales; Lithodesmiaceae.